This 400-nucleotide ribosomal RNA is filed under the name uncultured bacterium. RNAcentral describes it as "bacterial SSU rRNA". It matches the Rfam family "Bacterial small subunit ribosomal RNA", at positions 356 to 773 of the family's 1533-position model. The record is from RNAcentral.
GGGGAAUAUUGCACAAUGGGCGAAAGCCUGAUGCAGCAACGCCGCGUGAGUGAUGACGGUCUUCGGAUUGUAAAGCUCUGUCUUUUGGGACGAUAAUGACGGUACCAAAGGAGGAAGCCACGGCUAACUACGUGCCAGCAGCCGCGGUAAUACGUAGGUGGCAAGCGUUGUCCGGAUUUACUGGGCGUAAAGGGUGUGUAGGCGGAUGUUUAAGUGAGAUGUGAAAUACCCGGGCUUAACUUGGGUGCUGCAUUUCAAACUGGAUAUCUAGAGUGCAGGAGAGGAGAAUGGAAUUCCUAGCGUAGCGGUGAAAUGUGUAGAGAUUAGGAAGAACACCAGUGGCGAAGGCGAUUCUCUGGACUGUAACUGACGCUGAGGCACGAAAGCGUGGGGAGCAAAC